UCAAGUAAUUAAGUGCAUGUGGUGGAUGCCUUGGCAGUCAGAGGCGAUGAAAGACGUGAUAGCCUGCGAAAAGCUCCGGGGAGGCGGCAAAUAUCCUUUGAUCCGGAGAUGUCUGAAUGGGGGAACCCACCUACUUUAAGGUAGGUAUUGCAACAUGAAUACAUAGUGUUGCAAGGCGAACGAGGGGAAGUGAAACAUCUCAGUACCCUUAGGAAAAGAAAUCAAUUGAGAUUCCCUCAGUAGCGGCGAGCGAACGGGGAUCAGCCCAUUAAGUUAUGUGUGUUUUAGUGGAACGCUCUGGGAAGUGCGAACGUAGAGGGUGAUAUUCCCGUACACGAAAGGGCACACAUAAUGAUGACGAGUAGGGCGAGGCACGUGAAACCUUGUCUGAAUAUGGGGGGACCAUCCUCCAAGGCUAAAUACUCCUGACUGACCGAUAGUGAACCAGUACCGUGAGGGAAAGGCGAAAAGAACCCUGUGAGGGAGUGAAAUAGAUCCUGAAACCGCAUGCAUACAAGCAGUGGGAGCACCUUCGUGGUGUGACUGCGUACCUUUUGUAUAAUGGGUCAGCGACUUAUAUUCAGUAGCGAGGUUAACCGUAUAGGGGAGCCGUAGAGAAAUCGAGUCUUAAUAGGGCGUUUAGUUGCUGGGUAUAGACCCGAAACCAGGCGAUCUAUCCAUGAGCAGGUUGAAGGUUGGGUAACACUAACUGGAGGACCGAACCCACUGUCGUUGAAAAGCCAGGGGAUGACUUGUGGAUAGGGGUGAAAGGCUAAUCAAGCCUGGUGAUAGCUGGUUCUCCCCGAAAGCUAUUUAGGUAGCGCCUCGGACGAAUACCAUAGGGGGUAGAGCACUGUUUCGGCUAGGGGGUCAUCCCGACUUACCAAACCGAUGCAAACUCCGAAUACCUAUGAGUACUAUCCGGGAGACAGACUGCGGGUGCUAACGUCCGUAGUCAAGAGGAAAACAAUCCAGACCGCCAGCUAAGGCCCCAAAAUCAUAGUUAAGUGGGAAACGAUGUGGGAAGGCAUAGACAGCUAGGAGGUUGGCUUAGAAGCAGCCACCCUUUAAAGAAAGCGUAAUAGCUCACUAGUCGAGUCGGCCUGCGCGGAAGAUGUAACGGGGCUAAAACUAUGUGCCGAAGCUGCGGAUGUAUACUUUGUAUACGUGGUAGGGGAGCGUUCUGUAAGCCGAUGAAGGUGUGUUGAGAAGCAUGCUGGAGGUAUCAGAAGUGCGAAUGCUGACGUGAGUAACGACAAAACGGGUGAAAAACCCGUUCGCCGAAAGACCAAGGGUUCCAGUCCAACGUUAAUCGGGGCUGGGUGAGUCGACCCCUAAGGCGAGGCCGAAAGGCGUAGUCGAUGGGAAAAUGGUUAAUAUUCCAUUACUUCUGUGUAAUGCGAUGAGAGGACGGAGAAGGCUAAAUCAGCCUGGCGUUGGUUGUCCAGGUGAAAGGAUGUAGGCAUGUAUCUUAGGCAAAUCCGGGGUACUCUAUGCUGAGAUCUGAUAGCAAGCUGUACUUGUACAGCGAAGUGGUUGAUGCCAUGCUUCCAGGAAAAGUCUCUAAGCUUCAGUUACACAGGAAUCGUACCCGAAACCGACACAGGUGGUCAGGUCGAGUAGACCAAGGCGCUUGAGAGAACUCUGCUGAAGGAACUAGGCAAAAUGGUACCGUAACUUCGGGAGAAGGUACGCUGUUGUUGGUGAUGGAACUCGCUUCCUGAGCUGACGACAGCCGCAGAAACCAGGCCGCUGCAACUGUUUAUUAAAAACAUAGCACUCUGCAAACACGAAAGUGGACGUAUAGGGUGUGAUGCCUGCCCGGUGCUGGAAGGUUAAUUGAUGGGGUUAGCGUAAGCGAAGCUCUUGAUCGAAGCCCCAGUAAACGGCGGCCGUAACUAUAACGGUCCUAAGGUAGCGAAAUUCCUUGUCGGGUAAGUUCCGACCUGCACGAAUGGCAUAAUGAUGGCGGCGCUGUCUCCAGCAGAGGCUCAGUGAAAUCGAAAUCGCUGUGAAGAUGCAGUGUACCCGCGGCUAGACGGAAAGACCCCGUGAACCUUUACUGCAGCUUGACACUGAACUUUGACCUUACUUGUGUAGGAUAGGUGGGAGGCUUUGAAGCUGGAACGCUAGUUCCAGUGGAGCCGUCCUUGAAAUACCACCCUGGUAAUGUUGAGGUUCUAACUCUGUCCCGUGAUCCGGGACGAGGACCGUGUCUGGUGGGUAGUUUGACUGGGGCGGUCUCCUCCUAAAGAGUAACGGAGGAGUACGAAGGUGCGCUCAGCGUGGUCGGAAAUCACGCGUAGAGUAUAAAGGCAAAAGCGCGCUUAACUGCGAGACCCACAAGUCGAGCAGGUACGAAAGUAGGUCUUAGUGAUCCGGUGGUUCUGUAUGGAAGGGCCAUCGCUCAACGGAUAAAAGGUACUCUGGGGAUAACAGGCUGAUACCGCCCAAGAGUUCAUAUCGACGGCGGUGUUUGGCACCUCGAUGUCGGCUCAUCUCAUCCUGGGGCUGAAGCAGGUCCCAAGGGUAUGGCUGUUCGCCAUUUAAAGAGGUACGCGAGCUGGGUUUAGAACGUCGUGAGACAGUUCGGUCCCUAUCUACCGUGGGCGCUGGAAAUUUGAGAGGAUCUGCUCCUAGUACGAGAGGACCAGAGUGGACGAACCUCUGGUGUACCGGUUGUGACGCCAGUCGCAUCGCCGGGUAGCUAUGUUCGGAAGGGAUAACCGCUGAAAGCAUCUAAGCGGGAAGCCUACCUCAAGAUAAGAUUUCCCUAGGACUUUAUGUCCUCUAAAGAGCCGUUCGAGACUAGGACGUUGAUAGGUUGGAUGUGGAAGCAUAGUGAUAUGUGAAGCUGACCAAUACUAAUUGCUCGUGAGGCUUGACUA
This 2888-nucleotide ribosomal RNA is filed under the name Acinetobacter baumannii. RNAcentral describes it as "bacterial LSU rRNA". It matches the Rfam family "Bacterial large subunit ribosomal RNA". Lineage: Bacteria; Pseudomonadati; Pseudomonadota; Gammaproteobacteria; Moraxellales; Moraxellaceae. The record is from RNAcentral.